Molecule: non-coding RNA, 45 nt
Organism: Schistosoma curassoni
Lineage: Eukaryota; Metazoa; Platyhelminthes; Trematoda; Strigeidida; Schistosomatidae
Source: Rfam
ACUUUGCUGACGAGUGCUAAAUAGCACGAAACCUAUGUCCAGGGU